ACUCCUACGGGAGGCAGCAGUAGGGAAUCUUCGGCAAUGGGGGCAACCCUGACCGAGCAACGCCGCGUGAGUGAAGAAGGUUUUCGGAUCGUAAAAACUCUGUUGUUAGAGAAGAACGUUAAGUAGAGUGGAAAAUUACUUAAGUGACGGUAUCUAACCAGAAAGGGACGGGCUAACUACGUGCCAGCAGCCGCGGUAAUACGUAGGUCCAAGCGUUGUCCGGAUUUAUUGGGGCGUAAAGCGAGCGCAGGUGGUUUCUUAAGUCUGAUGUAAAAGGCAGUGGCUCAACCAUUGUGUGCAUUGGAAACUGGGAGACUUGAGUGCAGGAGAGGAGAGUGGAAUUCCAUGUGUAGCGGUGAAAUGCGUAGAUAUAUGGAGGAACACCGGAGGCGAAAGCGGCUCUCUGGCUGUAACUGACACUGAGGCUCGAAAGCGUGGGGAGCAAACAGGAUUAGAUACCCUGGUAGGAUAGCG
RNAcentral lists this ribosomal RNA (474 nucleotides) under uncultured bacterium. Its description in RNAcentral is "bacterial SSU rRNA". It matches the Rfam family "Bacterial small subunit ribosomal RNA", at positions 335 to 799 of the family's 1533-position model. The record is from RNAcentral.